RNAcentral lists this ribosomal RNA (484 nucleotides) under uncultured bacterium. RNAcentral describes it as "partial 16S ribosomal RNA". It matches the Rfam family "Bacterial small subunit ribosomal RNA", at positions 30 to 507 of the family's 1533-position model. The record is from RNAcentral.
AUUGAACGCUGGCGGCAGGCCUAACACAUGCAAGUCGAGCGGAUGAAGGGAGCUUGCUCCUGGAUUCAGCGGCGGACGGGUGAGUAAUGCCUAGGAAUCUGCCUGGUAGUGGGGGAUAACGUCCGGAAACGGGCGCUAAUACCGCAUACGUCCUGCGGGAGCAAGUGGGGGAUCUUCGGACCUCACGCUCUCAGAUGAGCCUAGGUCGGAUUAGCUAGUUGGUGGGGUAAAGGCCUACCAAGCCGACGAUCCGUAACUGGUCUGAGAGGAUGAUCAGUCACACUGGAGCUUAGACACGCUCCAGGCGCCUACGGGAGGCAGCAGUGGGGAAUAUUAGACAGUGGGCGAGAGCAUGAUCCAGCGGUGCCACGUGUGUGAAGAAGGUGCUCGGAUUGUAAAGCCGUCUAUGUUGGGAGGAAGGGCAGUAAGUUAAUACCUUGCUGGAUUGACGUUAACAACAGAAGAAGCACCGGCUAACUACGUG